UCCCUGGUGGCUCAGAGGUUAAAGCAUCUGCCUGCAAUGUGGGAGACCUGGGUUCUAUCCCUGGGUGGGGAA
This 72-nucleotide transfer RNA is filed under the name Bos taurus (domestic cattle). It matches the Rfam family "tRNA". From Rfam's summary of the family: Transfer RNA (tRNA) molecules are approximately 80 nucleotides in length. The record is from Rfam by way of RNAcentral. Lineage: Eukaryota; Metazoa; Chordata; Mammalia; Artiodactyla; Bovidae. RNAcentral also lists the same sequence under 2 other names.